UACGGAGGAUGCAAGCGUUAUCCGGAAUGAUUGGGCGUAAAGCGUCCGCAGGUGGCAAUGUAAGUCUGCUGUUAAAGGGUGAGGCUCAACCUCAUAAGAGCAGUGGAAACUACAUAGCUAGAGUGCGUUCGGGGCAAAGGGAAUUCCUGGUGUAGCGGUGAAAUGCGUAGAGAUCAGGAAGAACACCGGUGGCGAAAGCGCUUUGCUAGGCCGCAACUGACACUGAGGGACGAAAGCUAGGGGAGCGAAUGGG
RNAcentral lists this ribosomal RNA (253 nucleotides) under uncultured bacterium. Its description in RNAcentral is "partial 16S ribosomal RNA". It matches the Rfam family "Bacterial small subunit ribosomal RNA", at positions 524 to 776 of the family's 1533-position model. The record is from RNAcentral.